This 751-nucleotide ribosomal RNA is filed under the name uncultured Actinomyces sp. RNAcentral's name for it is "bacterial SSU rRNA". It matches the Rfam family "Bacterial small subunit ribosomal RNA", at positions 28 to 776 of the family's 1533-position model. The record is from RNAcentral. Lineage: Bacteria; Bacillati; Actinomycetota; Actinomycetes; Actinomycetales; Actinomycetaceae.
GACGAACGCUGGCGGCGUGCUUAACACAUGCAAGUCGAACGCUGAAGCCCAGCUUGCUGGGUGGAUGAGUGGCGAACGGGUGAGUAACACGUGAGUAACCUGCCCCCUUCUUUGGGAUAACGCCCGGAAACGGGUGCUAAUACUGGAUAUUCACUGGCUUUCGCAUGGGGGUUGGUGGAAAGGUUUUUUCUGGUGGGGGAUGGGCUCGCGGCCUAUCAGCUUGUUGGUGGGGUGAUGGCCUACCAAGGCUUUGACGGGUAGCCGGCCUGAGAGGGUGACCGGUCACAUUGGGACUGAGAUACGGCCCAGACUCCUACGGGAGGCAGCAGUGGGGAAUAUUGCACAAUGGGCGAAAGCCUGAUGCAGCGACGCCGCGUGAGGGAUGACGGCCUUCGGGUUGUAAACCUCUUUCGCUCAUGGUCAAGCCGCAGCUUUGGGUUGUGGUGAGGGUAGUGGGUAAAGAAGCGCCGGCUAACUACGUGCCAGCAGCCGCGGUAAUACGUAGGGCGCGAGCGUUGUCCGGAAUUAUUGGGCGUAAAGGGCUUGUAGGCGGUUGGUCGCGUCUGCCGUGAAAUCCUCUGGCUUAACUGGGGGCGUGCGGUGGGUACGGGCUGACUUGAGUGCGGUAGGGGAGACUGGAACUCCUGGUGUAGCGGUGGAAUGCGCAGAUAUCAGGAAGAACACCGGUGGCGAAUGCGGGUCUCUGGGGCCGUUACUGACGCUGAGAGCGAAAGCGUGGGGAGCGAACAGG